AAGGAGUUGCCGGGAGAUGGGAGCUCGUCGUCGUCGGCGGCGGAGUUCGCGACGAGCCGCAUCAACGCGGCGUGGGAGCUGGCCCGGAGCGCGUACCUGGGGUACUGGAGGAGCGCCUACUGCCGGGAAGGGUGGCUGCUGAUGGCGGCGAGGGCGGCGGCGGUGGCGCUGCCUGGCCUGCCGUUCCACAGGGUGCAGGACUACGUCAAUGCCGUCACGCUCGCCG
RNAcentral lists this unclassified non-coding RNA (226 nucleotides) under Hevea brasiliensis (rubber tree). Lineage: Eukaryota; Viridiplantae; Streptophyta; Magnoliopsida; Malpighiales; Euphorbiaceae. The record is from RNAcentral.